RNAcentral lists this ribosomal RNA (992 nucleotides) under Bacillus sp. Bac11. Its description in RNAcentral is "bacterial SSU rRNA". It matches the Rfam family "Bacterial small subunit ribosomal RNA", at positions 239 to 1224 of the family's 1533-position model. The record is from RNAcentral. Lineage: Bacteria; Bacillati; Bacillota; Bacilli; Caryophanales; Bacillaceae.
CAUUAGCUAGUUGGUGGGGUAAUGGCUCACCAAGGCGACGAUGCGUAGCCGACCUGAGAGGGUGAUCGGCCACACUGGGACUGAGACACGGCCCAGACUCCUACGGGAGGCAGCAGUAGGGAAUCUUCCGCAAUGGACGAAAGUCUGACGGAGCAACGCCGCGUGAGUGAUGAAGGUUUUCGGAUCGUAAAGCUCUGUUGUUAGGGAAGAACAAGUGCGAGAGUAACUGCUCGCACCUUGACGGUACCUAACCAGAAAGCCACGGCUAACUACGUGCCAGCAGCCGCGGUAAUACGUAGGUGGCAAGCGUUGUCCCGAAUUAUUGGGCGUAAAGGGCUCGCAGGCGGUUUCUUAAGUCUGAUGUGAAAGCCCCCGGCUCAACCGGGGAGGGUCAUUGGAAACUGGGAAACUUGAGUGCAGAAGAGGAGAGUGGAAUUCCACGUGUAGCGGUGAAAUGCGUAGAGAUGUGGAGGAACACCAGUGGCGAAGGCGACUCUCUGGUCUGUAACUGACGCUGAGGAGCGAAAGCGUGGGGAGCGAACAGGAUUAGAUACCCUGGUAGUCCACGCCGUAAACGAUGAGUGCUAAGUGUUAGGGGGUUUCCGCCCCUUAGUGCUGCAGCUAACGCAUUAAGCACUCCGCCUGGGGAGUACGGUCGCAAGACUGAAACUCAAAGGAAUUGACGGGGGCCCGCACAAGCGGUGGAGCAUGUGGUUUAAUUCGAAGCAACGCGAAGAACCUUACCAGGUCUUGACAUCCUCUGACAACCCUAGAGAUAGGGCUUUCCCUUCGGGGACAGAGUGACAGGUGGUGCAUGGUUGUCGUCAGCUCGUGUCGUGAGAUGUUGGGUUAAGUCCCGCAACGAGCGCAACCCUUGAUCUUAGUUGCCAGCAUUCAGUUGGGCACUCUAAGGUGACUGCCGGUGACAAACCGGAGGAAGGUGGGGAUGACGUCAAAUCAUCAUGCCCCUUAUGACCUGGGCUACACACGUG